GGGGUUGUAGCUCAGCGGCAAAGCGCUUGCCUAGCAUGUAUGAGGCACUGGGUUCGAUCCUCAGCCCCA
This 69-nucleotide transfer RNA is filed under the name Marmota marmota marmota (Alpine marmot). It matches the Rfam family "tRNA". From Rfam's summary of the family: Transfer RNA (tRNA) molecules are approximately 80 nucleotides in length. Their secondary structure includes four short double-helical elements and three loops (D, anti-codon, and T loops). Lineage: Eukaryota; Metazoa; Chordata; Mammalia; Rodentia; Sciuridae. The record is from Rfam by way of RNAcentral. RNAcentral also lists the same sequence under 1 other name.